UGGGGAAUAUUGGACAAUGGGGGGAACCCUGAUCCAGCCAUGCCGCGUGUGUGAAGAAGGCCUUAUGGUUGUAAAGCACUUUAAGCGAGGAGGAGGGUACUGGUAUUAAUACUACCAGGUACUGGACGUUACUCGCAGAAUAAGCACCGGCUAACUCUGUGCCAGCAGCCGCGGUAAUACAGAGGGUGCGAGCGUUAAUCGGAUUUACUGGGCGUAAAGCGUGCGUAGGCGGCUAAUUGAGUCGGAUGUGAAAUCCCCGAGCUUAACUUGGGAAUUGCAUUCGAUACUGGUUAGCUAGAGUGUGGGAGAGGAUGGUAGAAUUCCAGGUGUAGCGGUGAAAUGCGUAGAGAUCUGGAGGAAUACCGAUGGCGAAGGCAGCCAUCUGGCCUAACACUGACGCUGAGGUACAAAAGCAUGGGGAGCAAACAGG
Molecule: ribosomal RNA, 430 nt
Filed under: Pseudomonadota bacterium
Lineage: Bacteria; Pseudomonadati; Pseudomonadota
Description: Proteobacteria bacterium partial 16S ribosomal RNA
Rfam family: Bacterial small subunit ribosomal RNA
Source: RNAcentral